Molecule: long non-coding RNA, 1130 nt
Organism: Spinacia oleracea (spinach)
Lineage: Eukaryota; Viridiplantae; Streptophyta; Magnoliopsida; Caryophyllales; Amaranthaceae
Exons: 5
Source: RefSeq, a predicted model, not a curated record
ACAGGAAUCGAGGAAUCUGAUACAGGACUGCCGUCUCCUGACAAAUGGGAUCUCAAAGCUGAUAGGCAAAUGUGGGAAAGAUCUCUUAUGGUUGCGAAAUGCACCAGCAUAAUCAACCCUAACGCUGAAGAAGCUAAAUAUGCAGUUAAUUUUGUGGGGAGAUUGCGUAAGAUGAUUGUUGGGCUGGAUGAUAGAGUUUCUCCAACUGAUAUAGAAGAAGGCAUGCGUGUUGGGUAUUGCUCCAUACUUUUACUGAUUAGUACUAAAAAUAUUACUGUGAUAUAUAUGAAGCGUAAGUACUGUCUGUUACUUCAAUUCCCUGAUCUUAACAUGCAGAAUCAUUGUAUUCAUCUAUUUCCUAACUUCACCAAUCACCACUAAGUGUUAUCAACCUAAAUUCUUUUUAGUAAAGAUCUAGCUUGUACCAUAACAACUUUUAUUUAGCUUAUGUAAUUGUCUCACCUUACUUGAAUGCUCCUUCACUCAGUGUCAGAAAUUCACUCUGAAACAGAACUAGCUACUGGUAAAUUAAUUUUGAACAGGGUUGAUCCAGUCAAGUGGAAGAUACGUAUGCCCUUACCUCCAAGAAUUCAUGGCGAUGCUUCUAAGUUGAUAAUGAAGGACAAGCCUGAUAUACCAUAUAAUGAUAUUGGUGGAUGCAAAUAACAGAUUCAGAAGAUCGGAGAAGCUGUUGAGUUACCUUUGCUUGAGCCAGAGAAAUAUGUGAUUAUUGUUAAGGGAGUAUAUGAGCUGUAAAAGGGGCAUUCGUUUUGAACUACUUGCUCGCAUUUGUCCCAACUGCACAGGUGCAGACAUAACAACUGUGUGCAAUGAAGUUGGAAUGUUCGCAAUUCGUGCUCGUGCUCCAAGGAAAAUCGUGACAGAGAAAGAUUUCCUUAAUGUAGUCAAUAAAGUCAUCAGGGGAUGCCACAAGUUCAGUGCAACCCCAGAGUAUAUGAUCCAAACAGUUUCUUUUUCUCAAUUUCAAAAUCCCUGAUGGAUAACACUUCCACUGUUUUUACUGCCUACGUGGUAUUACUUGAGGCAAAUGUUGAAUGUUCAAAGAAUAGAACGUGAUAUAGUCGUAAUCUUUAUGUAUUACGUAUGUAUUUAAAAGGUUUUGUCUUUUA